GAAAGGAACACAAGAAAUGNUAACUCCAACGACUGAUACUAAGAUAUCAGGCCUUUCC
This 58-nucleotide transfer RNA is filed under the name Furcifer labordi. RNAcentral's name for it is "tRNA-Ser". Lineage: Eukaryota; Metazoa; Chordata; Lepidosauria; Squamata; Chamaeleonidae. The record is from RNAcentral.